This 1622-nucleotide ribosomal RNA is filed under the name human gut metagenome. RNAcentral describes it as "bacterial LSU rRNA". It matches the Rfam family "Bacterial large subunit ribosomal RNA", at positions 1261 to 2863 of the family's 2925-position model. The record is from RNAcentral.
CUGUGAGGCAUGCUGGAGGUAUCAGAAGUGCGAAUGCUGACAUAAGUAACGAUAAAGCGGGUGAAAAGCCCGCUCGCCGGAAGACCAAGGGUUCCUGUCCAACGUUAAUCGGGGCAGGGUGAGUCGACCCCUAAGGCGAGGCCGAAAGGCGUAGUCGAUGGGAAACAGGUUAAUAUUCCUGUACUUGGUGUUACUGCGAAGGGGGGACGGAGAAGGCUAUGUUGGCCGGGCGACGGUUGUCCCGGUUUAAGCGUGUAGGCUGGUUUUCCAGGCAAAUCCGGAAAAUCAAGGCUGAGGCGUGAUGACGAGGCACUACGGUGCUGAAGCAACAAAUGCCCUGCUUCCAGGAAAAGCCUCUAAGCAUCAGGUAACAUCAAAUCGUACCCCAAACCGACACAGGUGGUCAGGUAGAGAAUACCAAGGCGCUUGAGAGAACUCGGGUGAAGGAACUAGGCAAAAUGGUGCCGUAACUUCGGGAGAAGGCACGCUGAUAUGUAGGUGAAGCGACUUGCUCGUGGAGCUGAAAUCAGUCGAAGAUACCAGCUGGCUGCAACUGUUUAUUAAAAACACAGCACUGUGCAAACACGAAAGUGGACGUAUACGGUGUGACGCCUGCCCGGUGCCGGAAGGUUAAUUGAUGGGGUCAGCGCAAGCGAAGCUCUUGAUCGAAGCCCCGGUAAACGGCGGCCGUAACUAUAACGGUCCUAAGGUAGCGAAAUUCCUUGUCGGGUAAGUUCCGACCUGCACGAAUGGCGUAAUGAUGGCCAGGCUGUCUCCACCCGAGACUCAGUGAAAUUGAACUCGCUGUGAAGAUGCAGUGUACCCGCGGCAAGACGGAAAGACCCCGUGAACCUUUACUAUAGCUUGACACUGAACAUUGAGCCUUGAUGUGUAGGAUAGGUGGGAGGCUUAGAAGUGUGGACGCCAGUCUGCAUGGAGCCGACCUUGAAAUACCACCCUUUAAUGUUUGAUGUUCUAACGUUGCCCCGUAAUCCGGGUUGCGGACAGUGUCUGGUGGGUAGUUUGACUGGGGCGGUCUCCUCCUAAAGAGUAACGGAGGAGCACGAAGGUUGGCUAAUCCUGGUCGGACAUCAGGAGGUUAGUGCAAUGGCAUAAGCCAGCUUGACUGCGAGCGUGACGGCGCGAGCAGGUGCGAAAGCAGGUCAUAGUGAUCCGGUGGUUCUGAAUGGAAGGGCCAUCGCUCAACGGAUAAAAGGUACUCCGGGGAUAACAGGCUGAUACCGCCCAAGAGUUCAUAUCGACGGCGGUGUUUGGCACCUCGAUGUCGGCUCAUCACAUCCUGGGGCUGAAGUAGGUCCCAAGGGGAUGGCUGUUCGCCAUUUAAAGUGGUACGCGAGCUGGGUUUAGAACGUCGUGAGACAGUUCGGUCCCUAUCUGCCGUGGGCGCUGGAGAACUGAGGGGGGCUGCUCCUAGUACGAGAGGACCGGAGUGGACGCAUCACUGGUGUUCGGGUUGUCAUGCCAAUGGCACUGCCCGGUAGCUAAAUGCGGAAGAGAUAAGUGCUGAAAGCAUCUAAGCACGAAACUUGCCCCGAGAUGAGUUCUCCCUGACCCUUUAAGGGUCCUGAAGGAACGUUGAAGACGACGACGUUGAUAGGCCG